UCUCAGUGCAAGCCGUCCUGUACGGUGAAACCGCGAAAGGCUCAGUAAAUCAGUUAUGGUUCCUUAGAUUGUACCCACAUUUGUGUUACUUGGAUAACUGUGGUAAUUCUAGAGCUAAUACAUGCCGACAGAGUUCCGACCAGCGCCGGGUGUAUUAGGCUUCGCGCCGACGCCUGGUGUUCGGAAGGAACGCUCUUAUUAGAUCAAAACCGGCCAAACAGUGUUUUCGAACGCGUUUUCGAACGCGUUCGCGCUGUAAGCGGCCCGCGCAAAGACUUGACGACUCUGAAUAAUUUCGAGCUGAUCGCACGGUCUUGGUACCGGCGACGUAUCUUUCAAAUGUCUGCCUUAUCAACUGUCGACGGUAGGUUCGAUGCCUACCGUGGUGGUAACGG
RNAcentral lists this ribosomal RNA (395 nucleotides) under Dactylopius austrinus. RNAcentral describes it as "SSU rRNA". It matches the Rfam family "Eukaryotic small subunit ribosomal RNA", at positions 58 to 358 of the family's 1831-position model. The record is from RNAcentral. Lineage: Eukaryota; Metazoa; Arthropoda; Insecta; Hemiptera; Dactylopiidae.